This 468-nucleotide ribosomal RNA is filed under the name uncultured bacterium. RNAcentral describes it as "partial 16S ribosomal RNA". It matches the Rfam family "Bacterial small subunit ribosomal RNA", at positions 28 to 507 of the family's 1533-position model. The record is from RNAcentral.
GACGAACGCUGGCGGCGUGCUUAACACAUGCAAGUCGAACGGAAAGGCCCUGCUUUUGUGGGGUGCUCGAGGGGCGAACGGGUGAGUAACACGUGAGUAACCUGCCCUUGACUUUGGGAUAACUUCAGGAAACUGGGGCUAAUACCGGAUAGGAGCUCCUGCUGCAUGGUGGGGGUUGGAAAGUUUCGGCGGUUGGGGUUGGACUCGCCCCUUAUCAGCUUGUUGGUGGGGUAGUGGCUUACCAAGGCUUUGACGGGUAGCCGGCCUGGGAGGGUGACCGGACCCAUUGGGACUGGGAUGCGGCCCAGACUCCUACGGGAGGCAGCGGUGGGGAAUAUUGCACAAUGGGCGGAAGCCUGAUGCAGCACCGCCGCGUGCGGGAUGACGGCCUUCGGGUUGUAAACCGCUUUCGCCUGUGACGAAGCGUGAGUGACGGUAAUGGGUAAAGAAGCACCGGCUAACUACGUG